GACGAACGCUGGCGGCGUGCCUAAUACAUGCAAGUCGAGCGCGGGAAGCAGGCAGACCUUCUUCGGGAGGGACGCCUGUGGAACGAGCGGCGGACGGGUGAGUAACACGUAGGUAACCUACCUAUAAGUCUGGGAUAACCCCGGGAAACCGGGGCUAAUACCGGAUAGGCACCACGUGCGCAUGCAUGUGGUGUGAAAGGCGGGUUUUGGCCUGCCGCUUACAGAUGGGCCUGCGGCGCGUUAGCUAGUUGGUGAGGUAACGGCUCACCAAGGCGACGAUGCGUAGCCGGCCUGAGAGGGUGACCGGCCACACUGGGACUGAGACACGGCCCAGACUCCUACGGGAGGCAGCAGUAGGGAAUCUUCCGCAAUGGGCGAAAGCCUGACGGAGCAACGCCGCGUGAGCGAGGAAGGCCUUCGGGUCGUAAAGCUCUGUUGUGAGGGAAGAAAGAGUGCAGGAGUAACUGUCUGCACGUUGACGGUACCUCACGAGGAAGCCCCGGCUAACUAC
RNAcentral lists this ribosomal RNA (511 nucleotides) under uncultured Bacillota bacterium. RNAcentral describes it as "bacterial SSU rRNA". It matches the Rfam family "Bacterial small subunit ribosomal RNA", at positions 28 to 504 of the family's 1533-position model. The record is from RNAcentral. Lineage: Bacteria; Bacillati; Bacillota.